This 243-nucleotide ribosomal RNA is filed under the name uncultured bacterium. Its description in RNAcentral is "partial 16S ribosomal RNA". It matches the Rfam family "Bacterial small subunit ribosomal RNA", at positions 111 to 354 of the family's 1533-position model. The record is from RNAcentral.
UAACGCGUGAGCAAUCUGCCUUUGGAUGGGGGAUAACAGCCGGAAACGGCUGCUAAUACCGCAUAAUGCAACGGGACCGCAUGGUUCUGCUGCCAAAGAUUUAUUGUCCAAAGAUGAGCUCGCGUCUGAUUAGCCAGUUGGCGGGGUAACGGCCCACCAAAGCGACGAUCAGUAGCCGGACUGAGAGGUUGAACGGCCACAUUGGGACUGAGACACGGCCCAGACUCCUACGGAAGGCAGCAG